ACCUGGCUGGCUUAGUUGACAGAGCGUGUGACUGUUGAUCUCAGGGUUGUAAGUUUGAGCCCUAUGUUGGGUG
This 73-nucleotide transfer RNA is filed under the name Felis catus (domestic cat). It matches the Rfam family "tRNA". From Rfam's summary of the family: Transfer RNA (tRNA) molecules are approximately 80 nucleotides in length. Their secondary structure includes four short double-helical elements and three loops (D, anti-codon, and T loops). RNAcentral also lists the same sequence under 3 other names. The record is from Rfam by way of RNAcentral. Lineage: Eukaryota; Metazoa; Chordata; Mammalia; Carnivora; Felidae.